GACGAACGCUGGCGGCGUACUUAACACAUGCAAGUCGAACGGCAAGGCCCUGCUUUUGUGGGGUGCUCGAGUGGCGAACGGGUGAGUAACACGUGAGUAACCUGCCCUUGACUUUGGGAUAACUUCAGGAAACUGGGGCUAAUACCGGAUAGGAGCUCCUGCUGCAUGGUGGGGGUUGGAAAGUUUCGGCGGUUGGGGAUGGACUCGCGGCUUAUCAGCUUGUUGGUGGGGUAGUGGCUUACCAAGGCUUUGACGGGUAGCCGGCCUGAGAGGGUGACCGGCGACAUUGGGACUGAGGUACGGACCAGACUCCUACGGGAGGCAGCGGUGGGGAAUAUUGCACAAUGAGCGGGAGCCUGAGGCAGCGGCGCCGCGUGCGGGAUGACGGCCUUCGGGGUGUGAACCGCUUUCGCCUAAGACGAAGCGUGAGUGACGGUAAUGGGUAAAGAAGCACCGGCUAACUACGUG
RNAcentral lists this ribosomal RNA (468 nucleotides) under uncultured bacterium. Its description in RNAcentral is "partial 16S ribosomal RNA". It matches the Rfam family "Bacterial small subunit ribosomal RNA", at positions 28 to 507 of the family's 1533-position model. The record is from RNAcentral.